AGCUCUUCUGUGGGCCACGCCUCUACAUUUGUCCCCUCGUUUCCACAAAAACGAAGAACAGUGUUCUCGUCCAACUCUUCCAUUUUCAUUAUGAACAGACUCUGCUGGCUCCAUGGAGCAAAGGUCUCGGGGCUGUGGCAGCAAGUAUGAGACACAGUCUGUGGCUGGAAGCCUGGGCCCCGGGGGACUACACGGCUGAACAAGUCACAUGGCUUGGACAUCGAGGGGACAAGGAUGCAACUUUGGCAUAAUUACUAGAUUUUGCCCCGAAAGCCCUUCCCCUUUCAAACUUCCCCUGGCACAAUUCUCACAAUGCUGAAAUAAACACAUUCCACGGGCUUUCCUGUAAGCAGGUUUCAAGUGUCCCGUGAAAGCUGUUUUCAGGAAGAGCCUAUGCUGUCAACUUUGUUGUCAAGUGCCCUCAAACCAGUCUGUUACUCAGGAGUGAACAUUUGUUAGUCAUUAGAGAUAAGGCAUCUCGCGCUCUGGAGCUGGGGAAGGGAGAGGCCGAACGAGGACCUGGCGUGGAGGGGAGAUAGAGCCCAACACAGCACACCCAAACCGGCCUGUGCAAGAGUCUGUACUUCCCCAAGUCAGCUUCCAGCCCCGAAGGAGGGAAACAAGGUUCCGAUGGGUUCUGAAGUUCGACGCAGCAACCAUCCUGUCCCCGGGGGAACCGAGCCCCGGCGGGGACGCCAGGUGGAGGGACUAGCGGGGCAGCGCGCCCCAUUGGCUCCCAGAGCCGGCCCCGCAAUGGCCAGGUGCUCCGCUCCGCACGGUGGGGACGUGCACAGGGCAACACACGCACACGGACACCACGGAGUCUUCAUCCUGGGCAGAGCGCGUGUGCCCCGGGCAGCUACAGCCAAACUGUCUGCCCCGACUUCUCCUGCUGGCUAUAUUCUCUCCCCUUAAUCCGAGUGUCAAAAUUGCCUGUCGAACGUGAACCAGCCAAAAAUCUAAAUGAAAAACGGGAACAAAAAGAGCAAGAUUUAAAAACCAACUUGAGAAGUGAACAGUGUCUGUUUGGGUGCAAAUGGGUGCUGUCGAGCAUGUGUGACAGCCGUCAUGGAGCAGAGACCAGGAGCAGCUGAGCGGUGAGCCCUGCUGUGGCUGAGCCUGUCCCGUGGGCCAGGUCAGCCACGGUGCCACAGAAGCCCCAGGGCAGCCUGAAAUUGGGGUUGGAGAUUGUCCACAGAACCUUGCUUACCAGCUUCUCAGAGUCACACUUGCUGGCUUCCUUGUUGGUUUCCUGCCAUGGCAUGAUCGAUUCUUACAAAUACAUUUUCUAGAAGUUGAGUUGUGCCAGGCAAACCAUGCCAAAGCAUCCUCAUUUCCAUGUGUGGUCUGGGUGGAAUGGGGGAGGCUGUAGGCAGAGUGAUUCUGGAUUUCAGCAAGGCACUUGGAGGAGUAUCUCACCCACCUGAAUCUCCCUAAAGCACAAAUCUGCCCUGGCCCCUCCCCUGCAAAAACCUAUAAGAGAGAUUGCGAACUCCUCAGCUGUGCAUGUGUGGCCUUCAAUGAUCUGGUCUCUGCCAAACCUCCCAGCCUCCAAUUCCGGUGCCCUCCCCCUCUGCCCGCAGUUCUAAGGUACAGCCCCCACUUUUGUUCCUUAAGAUCUUGCAUAGGUUGCCACUGCCAACCAGAAUGCCCCUCCCCCUGCCUUGUUCCCCAGGGUAAUCUGCACUCAGCCUCAGACUCAGCUGAACGGUUACCGCCCCACAAAAGCUUCCCAGGCCUUUCUCCUUCUGCUCGA
Myotis brandtii (Brandt's bat) is the source of this 1756-nucleotide long non-coding RNA. RefSeq lists it as uncharacterized. The record is from RefSeq and is a predicted model, not a curated record. Lineage: Eukaryota; Metazoa; Chordata; Mammalia; Chiroptera; Vespertilionidae. The transcript has 3 exons.